This is a long non-coding RNA of Aplysia californica (California sea hare), 461 nucleotides long. RefSeq lists it as uncharacterized. Lineage: Eukaryota; Metazoa; Mollusca; Gastropoda; Aplysiida; Aplysiidae. The record is from RefSeq and is a predicted model, not a curated record.
UGGCCAUCCAGUUGUGCAGCAACUCUGAGGGCCAGACAUUUGCAAUAGACGCUGACCGAGUUAUUCUGACGCUCCAUGGGCUCGGCGCAAGCUUUCGGCUCCGUCUGCAAGCCGUUGAUCGAUCAGGGAAAGGAAGUCGAAGUGGAGAAGAUUCUGGCUUCAAGUACUACGGCACUGUCGGGGGAGUGUGUGCGGCCGUGGUUGCUGUGAUGGCUACUGCCAUUGGUGUCUACUUUGUCAGACAGUACAGAAUGAGACAACAGAAGCAGAGUCAGGCCAACACUGAAACCAUCGUUCCUCUUGGUGCUAGAAGCUAUAUAAAUGGCUCCUUCUCUGAACCACCAUCGUUCGCAUUGUCUGUGACAUCACCAGCGUCUGUCAUCCCUCAGCCAGGAACAAGGACCGGCCACUUGUAAAGGCAAGACACAGCGGACAAACAAAGUGGUGUUCAAUUUGACCCU